GGUGGCUCAGUGGUAGAGCGCUUGCCUUGCAAGCACGAGGCCCUGGAUUCGAUUCCUAGCACCA
Molecule: transfer RNA, 64 nt
Filed under: Dipodomys ordii (Ord's kangaroo rat)
Lineage: Eukaryota; Metazoa; Chordata; Mammalia; Rodentia; Heteromyidae
Rfam family: tRNA
About the family: Transfer RNA (tRNA) molecules are approximately 80 nucleotides in length. Their secondary structure includes four short double-helical elements and three loops (D, anti-codon, and T loops).
Source: Rfam by way of RNAcentral